Molecule: non-coding RNA, 64 nt
Organism: Bryopsis sp. KO-2023
Lineage: Eukaryota; Viridiplantae; Chlorophyta; Ulvophyceae; Bryopsidales; Bryopsidaceae
Source: the annotation of a GenBank genome assembly
GGGCAUGUAACUCAGCGGUAAAGAGUACGCGCUUGAUAAGCGUGAAGUCGGGGGUUCGAGUCCC